This is a non-coding RNA of Acanthosepion pharaonis, 107 nucleotides long. NCBI's taxonomy places the organism in Eukaryota, Metazoa, Mollusca, Cephalopoda, Sepiida, Sepiidae. The record is from the annotation of a GenBank genome assembly.
ACAGUCAUAUUACAUUGAAACACCGUUUUCCGUGCGAUCACUGAAGUUAAGCAACGUUAAGCCUGGUCAGUACGCAGAUGGACGACCGGUCGGGAAUACCAAGUGCC